Molecule: ribosomal RNA, 448 nt
Filed under: uncultured bacterium
Lineage: Bacteria
Description: SSU rRNA
Rfam family: Bacterial small subunit ribosomal RNA
Source: RNAcentral
AGAACGAACGCUGGCGGCAUGCCUAACACAUGCAAGUCGAACGAGACCUUUCGGGGUCUAGUGGCGCACGGGUGCGUAACGCGUGGGAAUCUGCCCCUUGGUUCGGAAUAACAGUUAGAAAUGACUGCUAAUACCGGAUGACGACGUAAGUCCAAAGAUUUAUCGCCGAGGGAUGAGCCCGCGUAGGAUUAGCUAGUUGGUGAGGUAACGGCUCACCAAGGCGACGAUCCUUAGCUGGUCUGAGAGGAUGAUCAGCCACACUGGGACUGAGACACGGCCCAGACUCCUACGGGAGGCAGCAGUGGGGAAUAUUGGACAAUGGGCGAAAGCCUGAUCCAGCAAUGCCGCGUGAGUGAUGAAGGCCUUAGGGUUGUAAAGCUCUUUUACCAGGGAUGAUAAUGACAGUACCUGGAGAAUAAGCUCCGGCUAACUCCGUGCCAGCAGCCGC